CUGGAAUCGCUAGUAAUCGCGGAUCAGCACGCCGCGGUGAAUACGUUCCCGGGCCUUGUACACACCGCCCGUCACACCAUGGAAGUCUGCAAUGCCCGAAGCCGGUGGCCUAACCACUUAUGUGGAAGGAGCCGUCUAAGGCAGGGCAGAUGACUGGGGUGAAGUCGUAACAAGGUAGC
Molecule: ribosomal RNA, 179 nt
Filed under: uncultured bacterium
Lineage: Bacteria
Description: partial 16S ribosomal RNA
Rfam family: Bacterial small subunit ribosomal RNA
Source: RNAcentral